This is a long non-coding RNA of Cynocephalus volans (Philippine flying lemur), 2986 nucleotides long. RefSeq lists it as uncharacterized. The record is from RefSeq and is a predicted model, not a curated record. The transcript is spliced from 5 exons. NCBI's taxonomy places the organism in Eukaryota, Metazoa, Chordata, Mammalia, Dermoptera, Cynocephalidae.
GCGCCCCCGCCGCGCGCUCCCUGCCGGUGUCGGCGUCGCGUCCCGCCCGUUCGCAGGCUCUUCUGGCGCGCGGGGGCGCGGGCUCGGUCUUCUCCCGGUGGCUGCGCGCGCCUCUCGUCGCUCCCGGCGUCGAAGCGCCCGAGUUCCUGUCAGGAAAUGAGGCGCCGGGCUUGCUGCGCUCCGAGAGGGGCCCGAGGCAGCGGCCCGGCCCAGCCGCACUCCCCGGCGCGGGGCUCGGCUUUUUGCCCCUCGAUGCUCCCCGGUGGCUUCCUCUGAGGCAUCGUAGCGCUAUGGCCGUUUUUCUGGUAAUUACGCGUGACGGCGCUUCGGUGAGGCCUUAGUUGCCGGCCUUGUGGGAAGGCCGGAUCUCAGUGUGGUCAAGGGAAAUACUCCGCUUUUUUCUUAGAUUGUGUAAAGAUAAGAUUUACUUGAACAACAACAACAACAAAAAAAUGGGGGCAGGCCUGUUAGCUCGGUGGGUUCGAGUGUGGUGCUGAUAACGCAAGAGUUCCAUUUCUGUAUGUGCCAGCCUCCCCUCCCCCCGCCGUCAGUGUGCUUUGAAGAAUAAGGGGACUUCAAAAAGUUCGGGAAAAUAACACAGAGGUCGAGGGUUCGGAUCUCCUUACUGGCCAGCCACCAAAAAAAAAAAAAAAAAAAGUUCUUGGAAAAAUAGAAUGAAAAGAGGAGAGAAAUACAAACUAUUUCUCAACACGAGCUCCAUCAAGUUCAAGACACUGUUGUAAGGGAUGAUACCAGCCAUUUAGUUCCCUCUAGGGAACUGAGCGUCCGGGGAAUUUAACGAUGUCCAUGCAGCUUUUUAGGUUGUUAACUAAAGGAAAAUGGGUCCCCUUUAAAGGUUAGGAAACAAAAAAGAAGUCAGAAAGAGCCAAACAAGAACUGUAAAGUGGAGGCCUAAUGAUCUCCCAUCGAAACUCUUGCAAAAUUGCCCUCGAUUGAUGAGAGGAAUGAGCAGGAGCAUCGUCAUGGUGGAGAAGAACUCUAUGGUGAAGCUUUCCCAAGCAUUUUUCGCCUAGGGCUUUGGCUAACUUACUCAAAACACCACCGUCAUAAUAAGCAGAUGUUAUUGUUCUUUGACUUCCAGAAAGUCAACAAGCAAAAUGCCUUGAGCAUCCCAGAAACCUGUUGCUGUGACCUUUGCUCUUAACCAAAUCCACUUUCUCUUUGACUGGACCACUUCCACCUCUUUGUGCUUUGUCUUCAGGAAUAUACUGGGGGCAAGAUGACAUUAUUUAACAUGACCGCAAAGUUGUUUUCCAGCUAGCCUGGUGCUGCAAACUUGCCACAAGUCAUGUACUAUCCAGACCCUGAGAAGCCAAGGAAGGCAUCAGUAAAGCUGUGCUGAUUCCACUGCUCCAGCAGGACCAUAAGAUAACAUCAAGGAUGGGAACAGAAGCCAGAUGGAGCCAUGGUAGAUGAUUCUUCGAAUUAAAGAUGGAAGCUGACUUUUCAGAAAUGGUUUUUGUUAGGUCCCUGGAACUGAGAGCCUGACUUUUAGAAGGUCCCUGUCCUUCAGUUUCGUUUCUAAAGCUGAAGUUGAUGGUAGUUUAAGUGAUAGCCACGUAUCUCCUCCAGCCAAGUGCACUUCGAAACGACCUGAUUCCACUUGCAAAGACAAAAUCAUGAAGUACUGGUCAGCGAGAAGAAUGGAACAUAUCAACUGGAUAGGCCAGAACAUUUACAGCAUCACUGUCUCCCACAAAUCAACCAAUUUACAAGUAUGAAAAAGUAACGGCAGCCAAGCCGGGCUUCUAGAGCUUGGAAGAGGAGGAGAGACCUGUGGAGUGCAUAAAGAUGGAAGAAGCCAUGAUGAGAGAAAGAAAAAACCACUUGGACCUUAUCGAGCCCUGGCUGUGUCCAGGCUGGAGCUGCUGAGCACAUGGAGCAGGAGCUGGCAAAAGCCAUAGCCGUGCCCUUUGGAUGAAGUUGCUUGGAGGCGGCAGGGGAGAAGUGGGCCUCGGUGGUCCCCAGGCCAGCAAGACCACUAACAGCGUUCCUAUGGACCCACAUAGUAGCGAGAAGCCACAACAACUGAAAAAAAGGAGCCACUCAGAGGCCAGUGAGUCAUCACAAGGGACCAGCACAUGGCCCAUCCCAUGGGAAGUGUUUGGAGUGUGGGGGCUAGGGGAGAUGGGCCCACUGGGGGAAAUACUGGGACACAACACGGACAGCUGAUCUGCCCCCCCUAAUCAGUGCAGGACCACUCAGAGGAGACUGGUCAGGAAUAUAGAACUGCAAGAGGUACAGAAUGCUGAAAAGACUCAGGACCAGACCAGAGUUUCUAUACAACCCAGGUGCACUGGAUCUCAUGAGAGCCGGAAGUACCUAUAAAGUCGAACAUUAAAACCUGAGCUGCACAAAAAGCUUUCCCCAGGGAAUUAGCAGCAAAGCAACAAUUUAGCUCAACCACAGGGUUCAAGUGCUGGUACCCAUGGGAAGUUUCCCCAUUUUAGAAGUAAGUAAAGGACAACAAAUUAGUUCCAGUGCAGAGUUUAAGUGGUGGGAACAGCCAAUAAUUCAGCACAGAACUGGAAGAAAAAACAAAAUACCCACAGACCAGAGACAAAAUUUGAUCAUAACUAGUGAAGGUCUCACAUCACCAAAGAACACCUAUAAAACCUAGCACUGGAAUUCCUCUGGGCUACCAAACCAGGGUGGUGGGGGGCUAAGGGCUUCUUCCGUGCCCCCUGACACCCACAACCAGCCCAACAAUGACCACUUAGCUGCCACAAGAAGCUCCCUGGGCUUCCGAGCUGGAGUGGUUGGGGGGCAAGGGCUUCAGCCACACCCCCCUGACAUCUGCACCCAGCCGAGCAAUGACCAAGACCCCACUGGAAGCACCCUGGUCUCCCCUGCAGGAAUGAGGGGGUGCCACAGGCCUCAACCCUGCCCCUCAUCCUUUCUCCUUCUCCCACCCUAUUUCCUUUCCCUUUCCCCUCUCCCCCCCAACUCCUCCACAACAACAUCA